GUCUGCGGGGGCGGGGGUCGGGUGGAGAGGAGGGUUGGGAAAGCGUAGGAAACAGGCAUCGGAACAGAAACAGGAGCCGGAAAAGCGUUUUGUGCGCUUUAGGUGCUCCGAGUGGGAAUCUCAGAGCAGUACUCUUGGCCCGGAACUCCUCCACCUUGCCACAGUGGGAACAGUAGAGACAGAGCUCAGGAGCCCAGAGCAGGACAUGGAACUGGAACCGGAACAGGAAACACAAACGGAAGCAAACAGUGAAGUCCAACUGCCAAACUCCAGCUUGGUCGCCCAGAGCUGGACUUCCCUGAGUCUUGCAGGUGCAGGGCAUGUGCAGACUGUGCCAUCGUUCAUGUGCAACACCAAGGGAAGGAGAAGGGCGCCCAUGUCCACCACACUCACCAGAGGGGUAGCACUUGGCGACAGCACAAGAUGGCAGAUCCCGGGAGCCUGAAUAACUAUCACCUCCCCACCCCAUCAUCAGGUCCAAGUACUCCUCAGCGCCUGAAGUCAGAGCCCAUGACUCUCUGGGUCUUCUGUCCUGGGAUCAUCAGAGGUCAGAGCCAGGGCCGAGGCAAGGCUCAUAGGAGGUUAAGGAAGCACGGUAGCACACAGGCAGACAUGGUGCUGGAGAAGGGGCUGAGAGUUCUACAUCUUGGCAGGCAGCAGGAAGAGACAGUGAGCCAAUGGACCUCGCUUGAACUUCCGAAACCUCAAAGCCCACCACCAGAGUGACACACUUCUUCAAUGAGAUCACACCUCCUAAUGGUGCCAUGCCCUGUGAGCCAGUAAGGGCUAUUUUCAUUCAAACUACCACAUUCUACUCUCUGGCCCCUGAGAGUCUGUGGCCAUAUCAUAGUGCAAAGUCCAUCUGGUCUGACCAAAAGAGUCCCCAUGGUCUAUCACAGUCUCAACACGGCUUAAAAGUCCAAAGUUCGAAGUCUCUUCUGAGACUCAUGCAAUGUCUUAACUGUAAUCACCUGUAACAUCAAAUGAAAGCAGAUCACAUACUUCCGACAUGCAGCAGCACAUACUGUUCUGAAAGGGAGGAAAGGGAACAUACCGAGGAAGUACCAGACCAAAGCAAGAUGGCAACCAACUGGGCAAACUCCAAACUCCUUAUCUCCGCGUCUGAUGUCAGAGCAGACUUCAGAUCUCCAACUCCCUUCAGCUUUGUUGACUGCAACAUACUUCUGAAGUGGAAACU
RNAcentral lists this small RNA (1198 nucleotides) under Rattus norvegicus (Norway rat). RNAcentral's name for it is "uncharacterized LOC108349560". Lineage: Eukaryota; Metazoa; Chordata; Mammalia; Rodentia; Muridae. The record is from RNAcentral.